This 879-nucleotide long non-coding RNA is filed under the name Physcomitrium patens. Its description in RNAcentral is "long non-coding RNA (PPAT_LNC011087)". Lineage: Eukaryota; Viridiplantae; Streptophyta; Bryopsida; Funariales; Funariaceae. The record is from RNAcentral.
UUUUUUUCUUCAUAGGGUUUUGGGAAGACUGAGGCAAUCGUUGCUGAAGUCAGUGUUGUAAUGGUGAAUCGGGAUUUUUAAUAAAGUGGGUUUGAUUACUCUUGACUGUUUUGUGAAAUCGAGUUACGUCUGUGAUGAAGAGUUAAAAGGGUAUCUAUAGGAUUGAGUAUGUGGAGUGAAUGAAAUUUAUUGGGUUAAUCUAACAAGACAAUCAGUAGAUACAAGAUCGUGAGUAUAAAGCGGUAUCGAAGAUUAGCAAUUUGGGUUGUUCGGGGUUCUCUGUAACAUCUAGAGACCUACCGGUUGGGGUAAAAGGGACUUCGACAAGCAGUCGAAGGGCAUCCGUAUAGAUUUACAGUAUAUUUUUGUAAUCAUUUAUAUUCCAACAGUCAAAAACUGAUAGACUGCUUGACUAUUGGCGAAUCUCCAUACUACCUUCUACAGCCAGACGCCCGGCGCGUUCUCGAGCAGGAAAGCACAUAAUACGACACCAAAGAACACUUAACUUUUCUUCCUACUGUCCACUCUCUUAUACCAAUAUAAUAACAUCCACGACAACAAUUUCAGUACCCUGUGUAAUUCACGAACACACAAGCAUAUUCCAAACCCUGGAACGAACAACUUCCAAUCCACAGAAUCCAAUCAAGAAAAUUCCUUCGAUUACAAUUCCUCUCCACUAAACUUACAACCAUGUAAUAAAUAGUGACUGAAAACUUCCAUACGUCCUCAAUCUUUCACAACAAUUGAUAAACAGUGAUCCAUAAAUAACUUCGUAAAUCAAACAUUAAUUCAUUAAAUCGAUUCUCUUCACUUGAAUCAACACUAACAGAAAAAAAACAAAAAAACUAAGAAGAAGAGAUAGCACCAAGCUUAUCCCCG